AAUUACAAAAUGAUGAAAAUAAAUGUUUUACAGAUACGAAGAAAAGGUCAAACCUUGUACGUAGCACCAAGUGAUCACGAUGCAUCGAAUGAUAAUGAAGGACAUCAUUUUGAUGGAUCUCAAACUUGAAGUCAGUCAACCCAGGAAAAUCCAGUUUCUGAUAUUGUAUUUUUUAUAUGCUUGUUUUAGUAUUUUGCCUUUUGUUAUUAUUAUACACCUAUUUAUUUACGUGUUUUCUUUUUAUCUGUUAAUAUCCUGUAAAUGGAAGUAAAUAUAUUUAUUUUCCAAA
Long non-coding RNA from Saccostrea echinata, 289 nucleotides. RefSeq lists it as uncharacterized. The record is from RefSeq and is a predicted model, not a curated record. NCBI's taxonomy places the organism in Eukaryota, Metazoa, Mollusca, Bivalvia, Ostreida, Ostreidae. The transcript is spliced from 2 exons.